ACGGCGGAGCAGGCGGUCGUCCAGUCCUCAACCUCCGCCUCCGGUUCACAAAGGUCGACGGCUUCUUCAUCGUGCAGUCCACGUGGGACUCCACGUCCGCGACCUCGUCGUCUUCGUCAGAACUGGUGAUGGCGUCGCCGCCGAUAUCCGGCCGGCUCUUUUCGGCUAUAUCGGGGAACUUGGGCAAGGAAAAGGAAGCGGCGACAAGUUCAGCUGUGAUGGUGGUGGAUUCA
RNAcentral lists this long non-coding RNA (233 nucleotides) under Linum usitatissimum (flax). RNAcentral describes it as "long non-coding RNA (LUSI_LNC000386)". The record is from RNAcentral. Lineage: Eukaryota; Viridiplantae; Streptophyta; Magnoliopsida; Malpighiales; Linaceae.